GAGGGUAUAGCUCAGUGACAGAGUAUGUGCUUAGCAUGCAAGAGGUCCUGAGUUUAAUCCCCAGUACCUCCA
This 72-nucleotide transfer RNA is filed under the name Camelus bactrianus (Bactrian camel). It matches the Rfam family "tRNA". From Rfam's summary of the family: Transfer RNA (tRNA) molecules are approximately 80 nucleotides in length. Their secondary structure includes four short double-helical elements and three loops (D, anti-codon, and T loops). Lineage: Eukaryota; Metazoa; Chordata; Mammalia; Artiodactyla; Camelidae. RNAcentral also lists the same sequence under 2 other names. The record is from Rfam by way of RNAcentral.